Molecule: ribosomal RNA, 649 nt
Filed under: uncultured bacterium
Lineage: Bacteria
Description: bacterial SSU rRNA
Rfam family: Bacterial small subunit ribosomal RNA
Source: RNAcentral
GGGGCAGCAUAUAGAUUGCUUGCAAUUUAUGAUGGCGACCGGCGCACGGGUGAGUAACGCGUAUCCAACCUACCCAUUACUAGGGAAUAACCCAGCGAAAGUUGGCCUAAUGCCCUAUGUAGUCGUUUGAUCGCCUGAGAUUUCGACGAAAGAUUUAUCGGUAUUGGAUGGGGAUGCGUCUGAUUAGCUUGUUGGCGGGGUAAAGGCCCACCAAGGCAACGAUCAGUAGGGGUUCUGAGAGGAAGGUCCCCCACAUUGGAACUGAGACACGGUCCAAACUCCUACGGGAGGCAGCAGUGAGGAAUAUUGGUCAAUGGGCGAGAGCCUGAACCAGCCAAGUAGCGUGCAGGAUGACGGCCCUAUGGGUUGUAAACUGCUUUUAUAUGGGAAUAAAGUGAGGGACGUGUCCCUUAUUGCAUGUACCAUACGAAUAAGGACCGGCUAAUUCCGUGCCAGCAGCCGCGGUAAUACGGAAGGUCCAGGCGUUAUUCGGAUUUAUUGGGUUUAAAGGGAGCGUAGGCUGUUUGUUAAGCGUGUUGUGAAAUGUAGGAGCUCAACUUUUAGAUUGCAGCGCGAACUGGCAGACUUGAGUGCGCACAACGUAGGCGGAAUUCAUGGUGUAGCGGAGAAAUGCUUAGAUAUCAUGACG